RNAcentral lists this ribosomal RNA (321 nucleotides) under Triticum aestivum (bread wheat). RNAcentral's name for it is "partial small subunit ribosomal RNA". The record is from RNAcentral. Lineage: Eukaryota; Viridiplantae; Streptophyta; Magnoliopsida; Poales; Poaceae.
AUGCUCCUCUGCUGCUCCGUCAUCACAGGGUGGGACGGCGACCUCGCCUUCCUGUUCAUUGUUCUGUCGGUAGCGACGUUCUUUGUCCAGGAUCAUCCGGACAGGGAGGUCCUCCAGGCCAUGCGUCUAGGCAUGUACUGCAACGCCGACCACAUGGCUAAGAUGGUCGUUGCCGCAACCGAGUUCCGUGCUCUCCGUUCUUCAGUAAAUCCAGAUGUGGAAACUAAAAGGCGAGUACCAUGGGAUCAUGAAGUAUAUAAAGCAAAGGAGGAGGAGUGCCAUCUACUCUCCAGCAAGAUAUUUUUUUUUGCUGGGGAAUGA